This 253-nucleotide ribosomal RNA is filed under the name uncultured bacterium. RNAcentral describes it as "partial 16S ribosomal RNA". It matches the Rfam family "Bacterial small subunit ribosomal RNA", at positions 524 to 776 of the family's 1533-position model. The record is from RNAcentral.
GACGAACCGAGCGAACGUUGUUCGGAAUCACUGGGCUUAAAGGGCGCGUAGGCGGGCUGUCAAGUCUGGGGUGAAAUCCCGCGGCUCAACCGUGGAACUGCCUCAAAUACUGACGGUCUCGAGGGAGGUAGGGGCGAGCGGAACUGAUGGUGGAGCGGUGAAAUGCGUUGAUAUCAUCAGGAACUCCGGUGGCGAAGGCGGCUCGCUGGACCUCUUCUGACGCUGAGGCGCGAAAGCCAGGGGAGCAAACGGG